UCAGGUAUAAAGCCAGCUGGUAGGACUACUUUAAAUGUGCAAGGAAUUGUUCCUACACAUCGUUAUUGACUGAAUUGUGUCUCUCCCAAUUUAUGUCAAAGUAUUAGACCCCAGGACCUCAGAAUGUGACCGUAUUUGAAAAGAGUCAUUGCAGAUAUAGUUAGUUCACUUCGAUGUGGUCACACUGUGGUGGACCCUCCAUAAAUAGAAUUGGCAGCCUUACCAAAGGGGAGAAAGGAUACUACGUCCUAAUCUUACAGAAGAAUUUCUCUCUCUUGUAGAUGAAAAAAGUGUAUGGUGGUCUGGACGCACAACCCAUGAUCAAACCCCCGUCACUCCACAGCAUCUAGAAAUAAGACAUAAGACUUUCUAUGGGUAGAAGUACAAAGAACAUGAGGUCCAGCUGAGCAUCGACCUCUGGGACUCUCCAACCUUGACCAUCAUCCACUAAAUUAAGAAGGACUUAGGCAGUGCCAUUGGGAUACAAGCAUCUUGUAGGAUUCCUCUACCUAUCUCAACACGCUGAGGGAGUUUGGCUGUCUCUCCUGUCCGACAUCAAAGCAGAAAUUCCAGAUCACAAGGAGACGUGCUCUGGGAGUGCUGGAGACGAGAUGGGGGAGGAGACCAUGAGAGCGAGAGGCUCCCAGGGAAGGAUCCCCCUAGUCCCAAGGGGCUGUGGAGCUGCAGACCUGAGAAGGGGACUGGAACCCUAGGUGAGAAAUAAGAAAUGUUGAGGGGGGACUUUUCUAUCCCUGACAGGGACAAGACACACAAUAGAAACUCCUGCUGGAGGGUAAGGAAGGAGCAAGCUCUCCGUGAUGUGUUUCUUGCUGGCCUGCCUCUACCCACUCCACAUGCUGGACUUCCACCUCGGCAGAGGAGAAGGUCUGUCAGUAAGUGGGGGGCCUCAAGUUUACAGGCCAUCAGUAUAAUUAGGAGAAGCUUCUUUCCUACUUCCAGUGUCCACCUGCCUUCUGACUGGGGACUAGGGUGUCUCUCCCGCAAGUUCCAUCCCACAUGUCCCAGGAUGAAGCCUACUUCUUCCACUGGAGUCCAUCUCCCCUCCACGGAGGGACCUGACAGCCCUUGCUUUUGGGGGCCUUGUGGAGACAUCAUGGAAGGUGGGUCCCAACCUUCAUGCCAGGCAGAGGGUGGCCAUGAUAAACUCAGGCAUCCUGAUGAGAACCGAAUCAAGCAGGGGCCUGUGGCUCUCUCAUAAGAGGUUCCCACCCUCGGGCUCUAAGGCUGUGACCCUCGGUCUGAGGGAAAAAUUCUUGCUUCCCACAUGCACAGCUUCUCAGGACUCAUCUAGCCUCCACCAUGCUGGGAGUCCAGAACCACAGUCUUGUUUCUCCUUAUUGAAAAUCAGCAAUAACUGCCUGGAAAGUGUUCUUUUUAAAUCCUCAAACGUAGGGGCGCCU
This is a long non-coding RNA of Ailuropoda melanoleuca (giant panda), 1421 nucleotides long. RefSeq lists it as uncharacterized. The record is from RefSeq and is a predicted model, not a curated record. Lineage: Eukaryota; Metazoa; Chordata; Mammalia; Carnivora; Ursidae. The transcript is spliced from 3 exons.